RNAcentral lists this ribosomal RNA (253 nucleotides) under uncultured bacterium. RNAcentral's name for it is "partial 16S ribosomal RNA". It matches the Rfam family "Bacterial small subunit ribosomal RNA", at positions 524 to 776 of the family's 1533-position model. The record is from RNAcentral.
UACGGGGGGAGCGAACGUUGUUCGGAAUCACUGGGCGUAAAGGGCGCGUAGGCGGCUUCGUAAGUGAGAUGUGAAAGCCCCUGGCUCAACCAGGGAACUGCGUCUCAUACUGCGGGGCUUGAGUACAGGAGAGGAUGGGGGAAUUCCCGGUGUAGCGGUGAAAUGCAUUGAUAUCGGGAGGAACACCAGUGGCGAAGGCGCCCAUCUGGCCUGUUACUGACGCUGAGGCGCGAAAGCCGGGGGAGCAAACAGG